Molecule: unclassified non-coding RNA, 208 nt
Filed under: uncultured fungus
Lineage: Eukaryota; Fungi
Description: partial contains 18S rRNA, ITS1 and 5.8S rRNA
Source: RNAcentral
UGGUGAACCAGCGGAGGGAUCAUUACCGAGUUUACAACUCCCAAACCCCUGUGAACAUACCUAUCGUUGCUUCGGCGGGAUGCCCCAGUUUGACGCAAGCUGGACCCAGGCGCCCGCCGGAGGACCCAAACUCUUGUUUUAUUUAUGUAUCUUCUGAGUAAACAAGCAAAUAAACUAAAGCUUUCAACAACGGAUCUCUUGGUUCUGG